RNAcentral lists this ribosomal RNA (896 nucleotides) under uncultured Gammaproteobacteria bacterium. Its description in RNAcentral is "bacterial SSU rRNA". It matches the Rfam family "Bacterial small subunit ribosomal RNA", at positions 28 to 919 of the family's 1533-position model. The record is from RNAcentral. Lineage: Bacteria; Pseudomonadati; Pseudomonadota; Gammaproteobacteria.
AUUGAACGCUGGCGGCAGGCCUAACACAUGCAAGUCGAGCGGUAGAGAGAAGCUUGCUUCUCUUGAGAGCGGCGGACGGGUGAGUAAAGCCUAGGAAUCUGCCUGGUAGUGGGGGAUAACGUUCGGAAACGAACGCUAAUACCGCAUACGUCCUACGGGAGAAAGCAGGGGACCUUCGGGCCUUGCGCUAUCAGAUGAGCCUAGGUCGGAUUAGCUAGUUGGUGAGGUAAUGGCUCACCAAGGCGACGAUCCGUAACUGGUCUGAGAGGAUGAUCAGUCACACUGGAACUGAGACACGGUCCAGACUCCUACGGGAGGCAGCAGUGGGGAAUAUUGGACAAUGGGCGAAAGCCUGAUCCAGCCAUGCCGCGUGUGUGAAGAAGGUCUUCGGAUUGUAAAGCACUUUAAGUUGGGAGGAAGGGCAUUAACCUAAUACGUUAGUGUUUUGACGUUACCGACAGAAUAAGCACCGGCUAACUCUGUGCCAGCAGCCGCGGUAAUACAGAGGGUGCAAGCGUUAAUCGGAAUUACUGGGCGUAAAGCGCGCGUAGGUGGUUUGUUAAGUUGGAUGUGAAAUCCCCGGGCUCAACCUGGGAACUGCAUUCAAAACUGACUGACUAGAGUAUGGUAGAGGGUGGUGGAAUUUCCUGUGUAGCGGUGAAAUGCGUAGAUAUAGGAAGGAACACCAGUGGCGAAGGCGACCACCUGGACUAAUACUGACACUGAGGUGCGAAAGCGUGGGGAGCAAACAGGAUUAGAUACCCUGGUAGUCCACGCCGUAAACGAUGUCAACUAGCCGUUGGAGGCCUUGAGCUUUUAGUGGCGCAGCUAACGCAUUAAGUUGACCGCCUGGGGAGUACGGCCGCAAGGUUAAAACUCAAAUGAAUUGACGGGGG